RNAcentral lists this ribosomal RNA (443 nucleotides) under uncultured bacterium. Its description in RNAcentral is "partial 16S ribosomal RNA". It matches the Rfam family "Bacterial small subunit ribosomal RNA", at positions 338 to 795 of the family's 1533-position model. The record is from RNAcentral.
CCUACGGGUGGCAGCAGUGGGGAAUAUUGGACAAUGGGCGCAAGCCUGACCCAGCGACGCCGCGUGAGGGAAGAAGGCUCUCGGGUUGUAAACUUCUUUUAUCAGGGACGAAGCAAGUGACGGUACCUGAUGAAUAAGCCACGGCUAACUACGUGCCAGCAGCCGCGGUAAUACGUAGGUGACAAGCGUUAUCCGGAUUUACUGGGUGUAAAGGGCGUGUAGGCGGGAGAGCAAGUCAGAUGUGAAAGCCAUGGGCUCAACCUGCGGCCUGCAUUUGAAACUGUUUUUCUGGAGUACUGGAGAGGCAGAUGGAAUUCCUAGUGUAGCGGUGAAAUGCGUAGAUAUUAGGAGGAACACCAGUGGCGAGGGCGGUCUGCUGGACAGUAACUGACGUUGAGGCUCGAAAGCGUGGGGAGCAAACAGGAUUAGAUACCCCAGUAGUC